CCUACGGGUGGCAGCAGUGGGGAAUAUUGGACAACGGGCGAAAGCCUGAUCCAGCCAUGCCGCGUGUGUGAAGAAGGCCUUCGGGUUGUAAAGCACUUUCAGUGGGGAAGAAAGCCUUGGGGCUAAUACCCUCGAGGAAGGACAUCACCCACAGAAGAAGCACCGGCUAACUCCGUGCCAGCAGCCGCGGUAAUACGGAGGGUGCGAGCGUUAAUCGGAAUUACUGGGCGUAAAGCGCGCGUAGGCGGUCUGAUAAGCCGGUUGUGAAAGCCCCGGGCUCAACCUGGGAACGGCAUCCGGAACUGUCAGGCUAGAGUGCAGGAGAGGAAGGUAGAAUUCCCGGUGUAGCGGUGAAAUGCGUAGAGAUCGGGAGGAAUACCAGUGGCGAAGGCGGCCUUCUGGACUGACACUGACGCUGAGGUGCGAAAGCGUGGGUAGCAAACAGGAUUAGAUACCCGAGUAGUC
Molecule: ribosomal RNA, 465 nt
Filed under: Vreelandella stevensii
Lineage: Bacteria; Pseudomonadati; Pseudomonadota; Gammaproteobacteria; Oceanospirillales; Halomonadaceae
Description: partial 16S ribosomal RNA
Rfam family: Bacterial small subunit ribosomal RNA
Source: RNAcentral